This is a non-coding RNA of Pelobates cultripes (western spadefoot toad), 201 nucleotides long. The record is from the annotation of a GenBank genome assembly. NCBI's taxonomy places the organism in Eukaryota, Metazoa, Chordata, Amphibia, Anura, Pelobatidae.
ACUAUUUUAAGUCUAGUCUUUACAUGACAGAGUGUUUCCUAUAUACGAAUGUUUGCCAUUUUAGUAGGCCAGGGGAUGGAGGAUUAACCCCUUAAAUCCUACUUUAUUGAGGGAGGUGGGCACAGGCCAGGUUCCCACGGGAUAUUAAGUGGUUUGGCUAUUAUUUGUCUAUAAUAAUCUGCAUAUCUCUGGAACAACAAC